AGUCAUCAACCCCUCCCGUUUUUGCGGGCGUCGGUUGGAUCUGGGGCGUGCUGCCGCGAGGCUGCUCCCCUCAAAUGCGUCGGUUGGGCCUGUGGGUCGGACUCGAUUGGGCGUUGUACCAUCCUCGCUCUCACGAGAAGUUCCCCUUCCGUGCCUUUCCAAGACUUGCCUGUGGAGUGGCGGUCAACCAACUUUGAA
This 198-nucleotide unclassified non-coding RNA is filed under the name uncultured Trechispora. RNAcentral's name for it is "sequence contains ITS2". Lineage: Eukaryota; Fungi; Basidiomycota; Agaricomycetes; Polyporales; Polyporaceae. The record is from RNAcentral.